AACGAACGCUGGCGGCGUGCUUAACACAUGCAAGUCGAACGCGAAAGGGACUUCGGUCCUGAGUAAAGUGGCGCACGGGUGAGUAACGCGUAGAUAACCUGUCUUCAUGUCUGGAAUAAUACGCCGAAAGGGGUACUAAUACCGGAUAUUCUUGCUUUUCAUAAGUUAUGCAAGCAAAGGUGGCCUCUGCAUAUGCUACUGCAUGAAGAGGGGUCUGCGUACCAUUAGCUAGUAGGUGGGGUAAUGGCCUACCUAGGCGACGAUGGUUAGCGGGUCUGAGAGGAUGAUCCGCCACACUGGCACUGGAACACGGGCCAGACUCCUACGGGAGGCAGCAGUGAGGAAUAUUGCGCAAUGGGGGAAACCCUGACGCAGCGACGCCGCGUGAGUGAGGAAAGGCCUUCGGGUCGUAAAGCUCUGUCAAGAGGAAAGAAGUGUACAAUGGCUAAUGCCUGUUGUAUUUGACGGUACCUCUAAAGGAAGCACCGGCUAACUCCGUGCCAGCAGCGGC
Molecule: ribosomal RNA, 511 nt
Filed under: uncultured bacterium
Lineage: Bacteria
Description: bacterial SSU rRNA
Rfam family: Bacterial small subunit ribosomal RNA
Source: RNAcentral